This 443-nucleotide ribosomal RNA is filed under the name uncultured bacterium. RNAcentral describes it as "SSU rRNA". It matches the Rfam family "Bacterial small subunit ribosomal RNA", at positions 26 to 518 of the family's 1533-position model. The record is from RNAcentral.
AGAGCGAACGCUGGCGGCAGGCUUAACACAUGCAAGUCGAGCGCCCCGCAAGGGGAGCGGCAGACGGGAGAGUAACACGUGGGAACGUACCUUUCGGUUCGGAACAACCCAGGGAAACUUGGGCUAAUACCGGAUACGUCCGUAAGGAGAAAGAUUUAUCGCCGAAAGAUCGGCCCGCGUCUGAUUAGCUAGUUGGUGAGGUAACGGCUCACCAAGGCGACGAUCAGUAGCUGGUCUGAGAGGAUGAUCAGCCUCACUGGGACUGAGACACGGCCCAGACUCCUACGGGAGGCAGCAGUGGGGAAUAUUGGACAAUGGCGCAAGCCUGAUCCAGCCAUGCCGCGUGGGUGAUGAAGGCCCUAGGGUUGUAAAGCCCGUUUCGGCGGGGAAGAUAAUGACGGUACCCGCAGAAGAAGCCCGGCUAACUUCGCGCCAGCAGCCGC